AACGAACGCUGGCGGCGUGCUUAACACAUGCAAGUCGAACGGAAAGGCCCUGCUUUUGUGGGGUGCUCGAGUGGCGAACGGGUGCGUAACACGUGAGUAACCUGCCCUUGACUUUGGGAUAACUUCAGGAAACUGGGGCUAAUACCGGAUAGGAGCUCCUGCUGCAUGGUGGGCGUUGGAUAGUUUCGGCGGUUGGGGAUGGACUCGCGGCUUAUCAGCUUGUUGGUGGGGUAGUGGCUUACCAAGGCUUUGACGGAUAGCCGGCCUGAGAGGGUGACCGGCCACAUUGGGACUGAGAUACGGCCCAGACUCCUACGGGAGGCAGCAGUGGGGAAUAUUGCACAAUGGGCGGAAGCCGGAUGCAGCAACGCCGCGUGCGGGAUGACGGCCUUCGGGUUGUAAACCGCUUUCGCCUGUGACGAAGCGUGAGUGACGGUAAUGGGUAAAGAAGCACCGGCUAACUACGUG
Molecule: ribosomal RNA, 468 nt
Filed under: uncultured bacterium
Lineage: Bacteria
Description: partial 16S ribosomal RNA
Rfam family: Bacterial small subunit ribosomal RNA
Source: RNAcentral